AGGAUCUCGCCACCGUCAAAGAUGCCAAUCUUUGCGCCGCCAGUCGCGAUCUUCUUCAUGCAGCUCUCGGCAUCGCCUUCGCCAGCAACGCUACAAGCAGAAGACAUGAGGUUUGGUUGCUUCUCCUCUUUUAAUUGUGCGACUAAACAAAGAUCUUACCAGCUGUGCUGGUGUUCUCUUUCAGGAUCAAUGCCGUCAAGGAUGGUGUUCAUCCUCUUGCACAAGUCAAGCUCGUCUUCGUCUUCCACGCACCACACCCAACCUGUUGCAGAGGAACAGGCGCUGCUAAGAUCUCUAAGCCAAGGCUCUGAAACUUACUUUCCUGGAAAGGAUCGUCGUCGUCAUCAUCGUCCCCGGAUGGAGGAGCUGCUGCUGGCCCCUGUGAAUCCACCUUGACCACAAAGAGCGCAACGCAGAUCAAAAGCAGCAACAACCACAGGUACGACCGCUCCAUUCUUCCCUGUAAGAAUUUUACCAAGCUUCCAUCAACAGGGAGAGAGGUCAAUCAACACUCGCGCAACGAGAGAGCAAGGAAAACAAGAAAGAACUUGUGAGGCGCCGAAGAGCCAGGCAGGAAGAUAAGGCCGUGCAAUGUGCUCAGCCUCGCAGCAGUGGC
RNAcentral lists this long non-coding RNA (616 nucleotides) under Selaginella moellendorffii. Its description in RNAcentral is "long non-coding RNA (SMOE_LNC001759)". Lineage: Eukaryota; Viridiplantae; Streptophyta; Lycopodiopsida; Selaginellales; Selaginellaceae. The record is from RNAcentral.